AACGAACGCUGGCGGCAGGCCUAAAACAUGCAAGUCGAGCGGGCAUAGCAAUAUGUCAGCGGCGGACGGGUGAAUAACACGUGGGAACAUGCCCUUUGGUACGGAACAACUCAGGGAAACUUGAGCUAAUACCGUAUGUGCCGGUAACGGGAAAGAUUUAUCGCCAAAGGAUUGGCCCGCGUCCGAUUAGCUAGUUGGUGAGGUAACGGCUCACCAAGGCGACGAUCGGUAGCUGGUUUGAGAGAACGAUCAGCCACACUGGGACUGAGACACGGCCCAGACUCCUACGGGAGGCAGCAGCUGGGAAUCUUGGAC
RNAcentral lists this ribosomal RNA (315 nucleotides) under uncultured bacterium. RNAcentral describes it as "bacterial SSU rRNA". It matches the Rfam family "Bacterial small subunit ribosomal RNA", at positions 29 to 369 of the family's 1533-position model. The record is from RNAcentral.